Non-coding RNA from Heterocephalus glaber (naked mole-rat), 1383 nucleotides. The record is from RefSeq and is a predicted model, not a curated record. NCBI's taxonomy places the organism in Eukaryota, Metazoa, Chordata, Mammalia, Rodentia, Bathyergidae.
UUUCCCCUCACCUGUUAGCAAUCAAUACGCCUGGUCAAUACAGCCUCUACAAUGUGUUUCCACUGUGUGACUCGUCCCCACGCCACCGUCCUUCUUAGCUAAAGUGCUUCGAUUGUCUUCCAGUCUCCUAUCAGCAAAACCUGCCCUCCUGGACAUCUCUGCUCUGGGAAAACCUGAUGUAGAAGAAUCAACAGCCGCAGAUGUAUGAAGCCAAAGAAAGGGGCUGACAGCUUUAUGUUGAUUCACUCAAAAACUCAAAGGCGGGCCAUUGUGAUCCUCAUUUCUAUUUUGUGAUCGAGUAUUUUUGCAUCUGCAAGCAAAGUAAAAGUGUAAAAUCGAUUAACAAGGACAAAGACCACAGCAAGCCUGGAUCAGAGAGAAUUUUCUACUCUGCCUGCAAGGCCCCGCCUUCUAACAACACGGUUAACUACUAACUCUUCGAUGGAUCCAUCACUGAACACAUGAAGACAAGUGGUGCUCAUGACCUCGCUCUCACAGGGGCACCGAGAGUCUGCCCCUCCCUAACGUCCCUCAGUAAGCAGCAGCUGCAGAUUCCAAGCUGGAAGGCACCAGCGCCCAUGCUUCAAGCACCCCGCCAUCCUGACUCCAUUCAUGCCUCAGAGCUACAGCUCCAUGGACACAUCUCCACAUAAUCUUGUUUAGCUACUUUUGUCUUCACUCACUUUCCAGAGUUUAUAUCUCCCUCCUGAAUUCAACUUGUACAACACAAAAGAGAGCUAAGUCAUUCGUGUAAUUAUACCAGUGUUCAGACAGACUCAGACAGGGAUGUGUUUAUCCCUGUGUUUGAGAAGGUUCCUUAGCUACUCUCCAGCUGUGAACUGAAAGCAUCCAACUGGCACGAAAAGGUCAUGGCCCCAAGGCCUUUGGGCAAGGUAUGUCACUGGGAGGUUUUAAAAAUGGUUCCUGACUGUCCAUGUUAGAACGACAUUCCGGAGGAAAUGCAAAAUUUAUUUCACAUGUAAACCAUUCAAGAUAUUUAUAGAAGAAAACAUUAUGAAGAACAAAACUCUCCCUUUAGACUUGGGUUCCAAACGUUAAGAAUGCUUCAAAAAGAAGAAUAAAACAAAGGAGGGGCUAUUUCUCUCUCAGCUCGUAUUAAUAGAUGGGUCACAGUUUGCAGCAUGAUUGCACACAUAUUUUUUCAAUUUCCUUAUUAUGAGCCACACAGUUAGCAACAAAAUAAUCUGGGGUCAAAAAAUAAAUGAAGCAACAUGAGGCUCUCCAACAAAAACUGGCACACUAUACAAAGAAAGCAAUGUAUGGAUAUUAUGUGAGGAGAGGGAUUCAAAGGCAUUCUGUGUUCCUCAUGAUCUGAAAGUGCACAGUGCGCCAAGAACCGCAGGGAUUCCUAGAAUCGUCCAC